This 253-nucleotide ribosomal RNA is filed under the name uncultured bacterium. RNAcentral's name for it is "partial 16S ribosomal RNA". It matches the Rfam family "Bacterial small subunit ribosomal RNA", at positions 524 to 776 of the family's 1533-position model. The record is from RNAcentral.
UACGUAGGGUGCGAGCGUUGUCCGGAAUUAUUGGGCGUAAAGGGCUCGUAGGCGGUUUGUCGCGUCGGGAGUGAAAACACACAGCUUAACUGUGUGCUUGCUUCCGAUACGGGCAGACUAGAGGUAUGCAGGGGAGAACGGAAUUCCUGGUGUAGCGGUGAAAUGCGCAGAUAUCAGGAGGAACACCGGUGGCGAAGGCGGGUCUCUGGGCCGUAACUGACGCUGAGGAGCGAAAGCAUGGGGAGCGAACAGG